GCGGAAGGUUGCCCGGGCUGGCGCCGCUGGGCAGAGCCGGUGCGACGUUUCCCUUUCCAGCUUUGUUCUUCCGGCCCUGCUGUCUGCCUCCCCGGCUGAUUGGAUUCGUUACUGCUUUGCAACGCGCACCUAACUCCAGACGGGGUCUCACUCUGUCGCCCAGGCUGGAGUGCAGUGGCACAAUCUCAGCUUGCUGUGACCUCAGCUCUCUGCGACCUCUGCUUGCUGGACUCAAGCGAUCCUCCCACCACCUCAGCCUCCUGAGUAGCUGGAACCAUCAUAUGCACCAGCACGCCUGGCUAAAGUUUUGCUCUUGUCACCCAGGCUGGAAUGCAAUAGCGUGGUCUUGGCUCACUGCAACCUCCGCCUCCCGGGUUCAAGCAAUUCUCCUGCCUCAGCCUCCUAAGUAGCUGGGACUACAGCAGCAGGUAGUCCCUGAGGAGCGGGGGCAGUGGCAGCCGGGUGGCACCCUGCCGGCAGCGGCUUCCCAACCGAGCGCGCACAGCUAGUCGGGCCAGGUGCUGCAGCUGCCUUGGCUGGUUCACCAUGCACAGGGCCGAGCUGUAGAAGGCUUCGUGCUCCUAGGCCAGGAGUGAAAGAAGGUCAGAUGACCCUUGCCCUACCAUCUGGGGGCAACCCAGCGGUGGGGGUCCUGGGAUUUUGCAGCAUGCACCCACCUGGGUGUUUCAUGUGUCUCAAAGGACUCAGAUUCAGAACCAUAGAGGCCCUGCAGUGAUAAUGCGGGCUGGGGCUCCACUUCAGGGAAGGGUCUCCACUAUGUCUAUACCACUCCCACCCCAGAGAGCCUAGCACAGUGCCCACCAAGUUAAGAGAUGCCAGAUAAAUGUCUGUGCUGAUGCAAGUGAGGGAGGCAGGAGAGGUGUGUGGAGUUAGGGGUCAGCCUGGGGUACCGGGGGAGGGGGUACCCUGAAACCCAGGGGUGCCACUCUACCCAUCCUCUCUACCCAGGGGCCCUCCUGCUGCUCCCUCCAUGAGGCUGGUCCUGAAGGAAUAGGCCUGUGGCUCGUCCCUCCUCCCCAUCUCGGCCCUGAGGCAAACAUACCUUCCACAGCUCUGGGAGCACCGCCUCCACCCAGGUCUCACAGGAUGGGACACAAGGAUAGGCAUUAAGCAGGACUUCCAGGGCCCGAGGGAAGUUGGCGCAGUGUUUCAGCAUCUAGGGGUCAAAAGAGGGUCUUGGGCACAUGCCUCCCCCACCCGAGGGCAGACCCAAGUCUUGCCUCACCCACAUGGCCAAUCCUAGCCUAAUCUGGGGGGCUAAGGUCUGAGUCUCUCUUCCCUUUUUUGUGCCUCUGUCUACCCCACCCUCAAGUAUGCUCCAACCUUUUGGCCCCAGUUUUCCUCUGGGGCUCUUCCCUCCCUUGGACUCUCUCUCCCAGAAUCCUCUCUCCCCCUCCCAAGCUGGGGACAGCCCCCUGGCCACUGAGGGCAGGCUUUCAGUCUCUUGGACCCUCUGUCUUCCCCAGAAGCGGAGCAGUUCCAGCCGCGGGCUCCCCCACACAGGAGCCUCCUAUGUCAGGGCCUCCCAGCGCACCUCAGGGCGCACUGGCUGCGCCCCGUAGUCCAGCAGUGCGGCGAAAAGGACUUCAGGCUCCCAGUUGGGGGAGUCCUGGACGGCCUGCAGCGCACAGUCCAUGGGCGUGUGGCCCGCCCCAUUGGGGACCUCAGCGCGGGCCCCGUAACGCAGCAGCAGCUCGGCCAGGCCCCCGCAGCCGUUGGCACAAGCGUUGUGCAGCGGCGUGUGGCGCUUGCGCCCGGCCGCCCGGGCAUCAGCUCCAGCCUCCAGGAGCCGGCGCGCCGCAGCCUGGUGUCGCCUGCAGCUACCUGGGCCCUCGGCCCCAGCGCACGCCGUGUUCAGCGCAGUCUCGCCCUGGCUGGUGCGCAGGCCCACGUCGGCGCCAUGCUCCAGGUACAGAGCCACAUGUUGCUCCAGGCCGCGCGCCGCCGCCACGUGCAGGGGCGUCUCCUGGCUCUCGCCUGCUGCCAGGUUCACCGUCGCUCCUGCUUCCAGCAGCAACUUGGCGCACCUGGGGACAAGAGAGCAAGGUCCUGAGGAAAAUCCUGAAGGCUUGGGACCCCUUCAGCUUGCUGUGACACUCCCUUGCCUUUCCACCCCUCUCAGCUUGAGGUCCUACCUGGUGUCCUCCAUGAGAAUCAUACAAGCCCCGCUACAGACAACAGAAUUGGAAGGUCCUGAGAGCUACCAGAAGCAUCUUCAGUUUUCAUAUGAAAAACUUAAGCCCAGGAGUGAUUUGUGCAGCCAAGGACACACAGCAAGUUAGUGGCUGCACCAGAAAUAGUACUCACUGCCUCAGACAGUCCCUCCCACAGUCUACUCUGUCUCCACCCCAAGGUCUGGUUCUGAAUCAUUCAGUUGUCAGUUGUCUCCUUUUUUUUUUUUUUUUUUGGAGACAGGGUCUCUCUCUGUGGCCCAGGCUGAAGUGCAGUGGUGUGAUUACAGCUCAUGUAGCCUGGACCUCCCAAGCUCAAGCAAUCCUCCUGCCUCUGCCUCCCAAGUAGCUGGGACCACAGGUGGGCAGCACCACACCUGGCUAAUUUUUUAAAUUUUUUUUUAUAGAGACAGGGUCUUACCAUUUGCCCCAGCUGGUCUCAAACCCCUGGGCUCAAGCAAGCCUCCUGCCUUGGCCUCCCAAAGUGCUGGGAUUACAGGUGUGAGCCACCACACCCGGCCUUAUCUCCUAACAUUUUGAUAGCACAAAAUUUUGAAAACCCACUUCUGUGUACGUUAUGAAGCAUAGAAAAUUAAACAGUAUGCACCAAAAAAAAAUAAAUACAAGUUAUAAUAUUUUCUUUCUGUCCCCACACUUAAAAGACCACUCUUCUAAACCAGGCCACAAUCAUUCAAGCAAAGGCAGGCACUUGGGGCCAUCCUCCUCCACUUUCCCCUAGGGAAAACAAACAAAACCAAAGGAAAAACAAAAACAAAAACAGGUUUUAAAGAGUGCAUGUUUCCCAGUUCCAGGGAAAAUUAUAGGCCAGAACACUGUUGUGGCAAACAUGCAUCCUUACAUACUGCAGGGUAAACCAAACAUGCAACAAACUAAAUUAAUAAUGAUGAAACCAAACUAACAGUAACUUAUAAUUAAAAAGCCAGAACGGCAGCUGCUGGAAACAGGAGCAGAUCCACCAUCCUCGAUGAAACUCUGAUAAUCAAAUACCCUUUCCCAAAAUGGCCAAAAUCCUUGCUCACAUAUUCCAGGUAGGUUCUUUGCUCUGUAGCCAAGAUGUGAGUAGCAGCCAGUCUUCCAUAAGCUACUGAAUUAUCUCCUUGGUAAAUUCUAAUUGUGGGGCU
Molecule: long non-coding RNA, 3334 nt
Filed under: Homo sapiens (human)
Lineage: Eukaryota; Metazoa; Chordata; Mammalia; Primates; Hominidae
Description: non-protein coding ASB16-AS1:10
Source: RNAcentral